This 359-nucleotide long non-coding RNA is filed under the name Carica papaya (papaya). RNAcentral describes it as "long non-coding RNA (CPAP_LNC004079)". Lineage: Eukaryota; Viridiplantae; Streptophyta; Magnoliopsida; Brassicales; Caricaceae. The record is from RNAcentral.
UAAUUUACUUUCAAAAUUUAUUUGGUUGAAUAUACCUACCCGGAAUCCCUUCUCCCACUCUCGGUCACUAAAUAUCUUUUCCUCAAUGACUCCUGUGUACUUCCAAAAUUUUAUUUUCCUCUUUUUUUUUUUCUUAUUUUCCUUUCUUGAACCAUUACUUGAUGAAACUCACCUCAUCAUCUAACUUGAAUUAAUUACCUCUUGCUCCCAACAACACUGUUGAUCUUAUUGUUGUUUCCCUCGUUUGCUCUUCUUUCUCUUUGCCUUCCUCGCCAUCCAUUGACAGCUUCUCUCUUUCUCUCUUACACCCUAUUUGGAUAAAUUUUAGUGAUGGUUAAUUAAUGUAUGAUAAUGACAGU